RNAcentral lists this ribosomal RNA (1550 nucleotides) under Enterobacter cancerogenus. Its description in RNAcentral is "bacterial SSU rRNA". It matches the Rfam family "Bacterial small subunit ribosomal RNA". Lineage: Bacteria; Pseudomonadati; Pseudomonadota; Gammaproteobacteria; Enterobacterales; Enterobacteriaceae. The record is from RNAcentral.
AAAUUGAAGAGUUUGAUCAUGGCUCAGAUUGAACGCUGGCGGCAGGCCUAACACAUGCAAGUCGAGCGGUAGCACAGAGAGCUUGCUCUCGGGUGACGAGCGGCGGACGGGUGAGUAAUGUCUGGGAAACUGCCUGAUGGAGGGGGAUAACUACUGGAAACGGUAGCUAAUACCGCAUAACGUCGCAAGACCAAAGAGGGGGACCUUCGGGCCUCUUGCCAUCAGAUGUGCCCAGAUGGGAUUAGCUAGUAGGUGGGGUAACGGCUCACCUAGGCGACGAUCCCUAGCUGGUCUGAGAGGAUGACCAGCCACACUGGAACUGAGACACGGUCCAGACUCCUACGGGAGGCAGCAGUGGGGAAUAUUGCACAAUGGGCGCAAGCCUGAUGCAGCCAUGCCGCGUGUAUGAAGAAGGCCUUCGGGUUGUAAAGUACUUUCAGCGGGGAGGAAGGUGUUGUGGUUAAUAACCACAGCAAUUGACGUUACCCGCAGAAGAAGCACCGGCUAACUCCGUGCCAGCAGCCGCGGUAAUACGGAGGGUGCAAGCGUUAAUCGGAAUUACUGGGCGUAAAGCGCACGCAGGCGGUCUGUCAAGUCGGAUGUGAAAUCCCCGGGCUCAACCUGGGAACUGCAUUCGAAACUGGCAGGCUAGAGUCUUGUAGAGGGGGGUAGAAUUCCAGGUGUAGCGGUGAAAUGCGUAGAGAUCUGGAGGAAUACCGGUGGCGAAGGCGGCCCCCUGGACAAAGACUGACGCUCAGGUGCGAAAGCGUGGGGAGCAAACAGGAUUAGAUACCCUGGUAGUCCACGCCGUAAACGAUGUCGACUUGGAGGUUGUGCCCUUGAGGCGUGGCUUCCGGAGCUAACGCGUUAAGUCGACCGCCUGGGGAGUACGGCCGCAAGGUUAAAACUCAAAUGAAUUGACGGGGGCCCGCACAAGCGGUGGAGCAUGUGGUUUAAUUCGAUGCAACGCGAAGAACCUUACCUACUCUUGACAUCCAGAGAACUUAGCAGAGAUGCUUUGGUGCCUUCGGGAACUCUGAGACAGGUGCUGCAUGGCUGUCGUCAGCUCGUGUUGUGAAAUGUUGGGUUAAGUCCCGCAACGAGCGCAACCCUUAUCCUUUGUUGCCAGCGAUUCGGUCGGGAACUCAAAGGAGACUGCCAGUGAUAAACUGGAGGAAGGUGGGGAUGACGUCAAGUCAUCAUGGCCCUUACGAGUAGGGCUACACACGUGCUACAAUGGCGCAUACAAAGAGAAGCGACCUCGCGAGAGCAAGCGGACCUCAUAAAGUGCGUCGUAGUCCGGAUUGGAGUCUGCAACUCGACUCCAUGAAGUCGGAAUCGCUAGUAAUCGUAGAUCAGAAUGCUACGGUGAAUACGUUCCCGGGCCUUGUACACACCGCCCGUCACACCAUGGGAGUGGGUUGCAAAAGAAGUAGGUAGCUUAACCUUCGGGAGGGCGCUUACCACUUUGUGAUUCAUGACUGGGGUGAAGUCGUAACAAGGUAACCGUAGGGGAACCUGCGGUUGGAUCACCUCCUUACCUUAAAGAA